Molecule: long non-coding RNA, 8823 nt
Organism: Dromaius novaehollandiae (emu)
Lineage: Eukaryota; Metazoa; Chordata; Aves; Casuariiformes; Dromaiidae
Exons: 5
Source: RefSeq, a predicted model, not a curated record
CUCUGGGAAUCUGAGCUCAAAGGCCCCCAGAAUGCUCUGAACAAGGAGAAGCAGCAGGGAACUGGUGUCAAGGCGGGCACAGCAAUCUAAUUCAAUGUCUUUUAAAUUUGCAGGCAUGUAAUUUCUCAUUUUCCUGCUUUCUAUGGACUCUAAAUUACGUGCAAAUGAGAGAGAACGGAAAACAUAUAAUCUUAUUCAUGAGGUCAGGGCAGAAGAAACAUCUGUGGCAUCAGAACGAUAGUACUUCAAAGGAGAGGUUUAACAAAUGCCUGCUGGGCUGUUCAUCAUAAUGGUGGUAGCAGAGAGUACAGCAUAACAAGACUUCUGUGCUUUUAAAACUAUGAAAGGUCCUAAGAGAUACAAGAAGUUCAAAUCCAUACCCAAUAAAGAAUAAUCAGGAUUUUGUGUGUGAAAGGGCAGGAAAACACUCUCCUGCCCUGUGUGAAGAAGAGUGGUCUUGAACUAUCUGUCUUAAAGAGCAGGAUAAAGGAGCAUCAGGUAGAUAAAUCACCAAUGCCCUCUCUGUGUGACUUGUAGCAGGUCCAAGAGGUACCUUCCACUUCUUUUAUUGACCAUGAAUUGUCAAAACACAUGUGAACUACAGCGCGAUUCUGAAUCAGGGCGAGAGCGGAGGAUGAAGCCUUCACCUUCUUAGGAAGAAGAUGAAGCCAAUAAUCCAGAGGUCACCUGGGAUGUGGGCCUUCUGAUUUAAGGGCUUCUUUUGGGUCAGGUAUGUAGACUGCAUUUUUUGUAGCCCUAGUUAAUGCUCUUACCAUCAAGACCUUGGUCAUUCUUCUACAGAGAAAACAAGGAGACCUGCUCUGCAAUGUGGAACUGCAAAGUCUUUAUUGAUGACAAACAGUAUGGGAAUUGAUGUAGUGCUAGGAAAAGUUUUAGAAUAGAAAUUCCUGGAUCUCUCCAGGAAGUGGGAAAAAAGUCAAGGCAACAGGAGCACAAUUCAUGCCGUAGCUCCCUGCUAAGCAGAGCUCAGACCGCUUGUUUGCCAGGAAUUACUGGGGAAGCCAUUCGGAGUUAGUUACUCCACACAGAACUGAGAAGAGGUUUUGGACUUCCUCUUAGAGAUGAAGUUCCUUCAACCCAGUUGUGCUAUUAUUUAACUAGCAUUACCUAGAAAAGGCUUGUAUGAAGCCUAAACUGUGUCUGAAAACUGUAACUUUUGCAUGUACCAUUGUAAAUGCAAAUAACUACUGAUCGAAUAUGUCUAUUUUUAGUGCCAUUAAUCUUGUGCGUUGUCUCAAGAUAGGAUGCCUUCCCAUGCUGCCCUGCUGAAUGUAUUUUAUUCAUAAUCUGGAGCCUAGUAAGUCAGGAAGUUACAUUUCAGUGAAGAAGGUCAAUGAGUAAAAUGAGAGACAACAUUGACUUUUUUUUUCAUACCUUCACCUCAUUAAUGAAUAAUGCCUAGGCACAAGAGGAGACUUAUGGAUGUAACUAUAAUAGUAGCAGCCAACAGCCAACAGUUAGACACUGCUAUUGUGUUUGCAUUAUGCCUCUUGGGCAGAUCUUAGAUAAGUGAAAGGCAGUAUAAUUGCUAGACCAGGUUUACCUUACACGUGGAGCCCAAUCUGUUGGAAAAGUGAAUAUUCUUUUCCCCUAGAAAUGUUUCAUGAAAGUAUGGAUAGACACUCUUUAAUUUAGAAAAGACAAAAUGUUUUAUUUGAUAUCAAAUAGCAUCUGACUUUAAUGACUUUAAAAUUGAAAAGAAAAUAAUGAAUAUUGAAACAAUGUCAUGUUUGAAUAUUCCAGUAAUAGUUCUGUAUGUUCUGGAUUAUUACUGACUUUCAUGAAAUAAUGCAAAAACUAUAUUGAGUAAGAAAUAGAAUUUAAAAUGCAAUUCUAAACAAAAUUCUGGGGUUCUGAGUUGAAGACAGCAUAACUUGGCAGCUUUCCAAAUCUUAAUUACAAACUGAACAAAAAAAAUUUUUUUAGUAUUUUUUUCCUCACUAGCUAAAACAUCCAGGGUUCAGCCAGCUGGAGGGAGUUAGAGUAUUUGUGACUGCCUCUUACAUAUGCAUGAAUACCUUGUGAAGAAAUUUGGCAUUAGUGAAUGUUUCAGGAGAUUUUAUCCUGUUUUUUGUUAGCAUUUGGAGAGGAACCAGAAAUGCAAAUUAAUUUUGCUGUUCCUUUGCAGAGUUAGUUAAUCAGUAUUAAAAGAUCAGAGAGCUACACAGCUCUCUCUGAUAGCCAGCCAGAAGUUCUGAUUAUGAUUUGUUUUUCCCCUUUUUAACAGAUUAUUCUGCUUGAAGUCUGGCUGUUAUUUUGGCUGCCUAUCUAGAAAGCUCACUAGCAAAUAUUUUUCUUUUGACAGCAUGUCAGCCAGACUUAGAAAUGUCUCUCAAAAAAUUGCUAGUGCAGAGUUUAGAACUGGUUUCUACUGCUGUAUAGACGUUCAAGUGUGGGGGAAGAUUGGGAGAGGGAUUGUUUUAAAAGUGAAAGGCAAUUGGGAACAUUGGACUGACCAAGUCUUUAGCAUACACAGCUGAGAUCUGCCUUAUGUGUUCAUAAGUAAUUUUAGUGCUAUUGCUGAUAUAAAGGAAGGUAAGUGCAAGUGAAAGAUCUCUUCAUAAAUUGUGUGCGCAUUUACUGCAGUAGAAGUCAGGAACUAGAAACUCUACUAGUUACAAAUAGGCUUUUGGAGCACUUACUGUUGAUUAUAAACUCCAGGAUAACUAACUUUUAAAUUAUAAUUUUCAAAAUACAGUUAAGUUUAGCAACCUUAUGAGGCAUCACACCAAAACAAGCAUACUGAUUUUGAACUGCUUCAUUAGAGAAGAGUCCUUGAGGGAAACAAGCUUGAGUGAGGCAGCUGUCAUUACAACGUCAGCACAUCAGUCCCUGAACAAAACAAGGAAAAGGGAAGGAGAAACAAAUAUUUUUAUAACCACAAUUGAAUAGCCUACUCAUGCAGAUAGAAGUUAUGUGAUCUCAGCAAGCAUCUUGCCAAAUACCAACCUACUGAAAUCAAGGAGUGUUAAUACUGACAAGUCGGAAUGCCAAAAGGAGAGCAAAGAGAAAAUUUGAACAGCUUGAAGCCAGAGAUGAACAAAAAUGACCAGAUAUCCAUUUUGUAGUAACUCGCAUGUAAUAAGUCUGCUGGAAAAUGGAACUACCACAGAAUAAGUGACAUCAGUCAUCUGAGAUGAUUUCUUUGCAUCCGUUUUUACCAAAGAGAUUGAUUGACCCAUUUUCAGACCUAUUUUUCAGUACAGAUGAAGUAUGGACAGGACUGUGACAUGAAGAGCCUAAAGCAAGCACUUUUUAAAGGAGAAAUAUGCAGCUGGGUUUCUUUUAAAUGGUAAUGCAGAUCUGCAGGAUCCAUUCUAAGUCUGGAAAGUGAAGAGACAGGAAUGAUUUAGUAAUACGUGGAAACGUUUAAAUAUACAUUUAAUAUGAAAUAUACGAAAUAUACGAAAAACGUUUAAAGUGGGAAAAAAACCCAUCAGUUUUACCCCGAAGAACAGAGCAAUGAUACACUGAGUCUCUGUGGUGUUAUAAAACUACUACAUCUUCACAGGGUGGAUGUCAAGAGUUUUUUUUUCAGAGGUCUGCUGUCUUUAUUGGGGUCUCAAGAAGAGUGGGAGAUUGUAGUGAGUAUAUAGCAGGAUGCUUUUGCUAUGUAUGUACUGUACUGCUGGACAGCCAUGAAAGCAGCUAGAUGCAUGGUGUAUUCCAAAAAUCACUGGUUUCCACUCACGUGUUAGCAGUGUAGUAGCUGUAAGUCUGUUCAGACUUUUCCCUGCUUUCUGUUUUUUUUCUCAGAUGUACAUUUUUUUCUGAAGAUAAGUUUCAGUUCUUCGGAAAUGUCACUCUUAACCACUUUUUAUCAUCACUCUUGGACUUACGUUCUACUGAAUUAUUGAAAGCUGGCUGACAUGAUAUUUCAUAGGAGUUUCACAAAAAUAUUAUGUUUUUCAGGCCUUGUCUCAUCUGGACUACCCUUAAAGAGAAUACAAACCUACAUCCUAAAAAUGUUCUCGCCAUUUGCCUGCAUACGUUGGUAGAACUGACGCUUUGGAGCAAUUACCAGAGUCUAAAGGUCACAGCACAGAAAGCUAAGCCCUAUACUGCUGAAAAACUAUGUUUCAGCUGUUAUCAGCAGGAUGAUCUUUGACAUGAGUUAUAUCAGUUCUGGUAAUUUUUAUUCCGAGAUGUAAGAGUGAUACGCAUGACUUCUUAAAAUAAAGGUGGCUUAUUCAAAUAUACAUUCCCAUCCUAGUGAAUUCCCGAUAUUAAAUUAAGUGUUUCCUAUUGCAUCUUUCAGUUUCUACAGUCGAAAAGAUUUCUGAUGGGAAAUUUCCAGCUGCACUCUGGGAUAUGAACAGAUCACGUUGUACCUUGUUAAAUAACUGUGUUAUAAUAACUAAUUAUAAUAAUCUCUCUCUACUGAUAGAUGAGCACAAGAUAAAUUCCUUCCCCUCUUGAUCUCUGUUCACUCUGUUCCAGGCUGUUAGACAAACAACUUGAUGUAUUUCACCAAAGACAUUUUUAUUAUCACCCAUAAUCUCCAAGGCAUAAGUUGCAUACAUUUUCCUAAAGAAAGACAGGAAAAAGUAAAUGCUGUUUCCAAAAUGCAUUUUAAAAAUGUCUUUGUCAUAUUUCUAAAGGGAAUGCCAUAAUAUCCAGUCCUCUCCCCUGCAACCUGCUCCUUGGCAAAGAAGCUUUGACUGGCGCUCUCGUAGCGAAAGCCCCCUCCGUUGCUGGUAUGUUGGUACGAUGGGGUGAGGGGCUCCGGCUGAUCCCUUGGCCACUCCUCACCUUGUGUUAACACCCUGGGGACUUGUUGAAAGGUGUGAUGCCUGAGGGCUAUUAGUCAGCCCCAAACCACUUUCAACUCCAGGCAAACUUUAAGAUAAAAAUAAAAUAAAAAGUUUAAGAAACUUUUUUAAGAAACGCUCCUCCUUUUAAAGACAGAUGCAGAGCAAUGACAUGAUAAAAUGCUACACUACUACCUCUCAUUCUAGAUUGACUUCAUUCCCCAGCGUGGUCCUGAGGCUGGGGAAUGACAUCCACCAGGAGCCAUAGCUUGUGCAAGGAUUUAGUGAGGAUGGUAAUGAUAAAAAGUCCCUGCUUGGAUUCUUCUAUUUCUAGUUGUUUGUUUGCUUGUUUUUACCUUGUCACACUAAUGAUGUUUUCACAAUUCCUUGAUUCUUUUUUUAACAGACCUUUGGCUGAAUAUAGGUCUGGUAAGUGAAUUUUCAUUACACUGAAUAGUCACACUGAAUAGUUAUCUUGACUCCUAGUGCAAAUUGAAUUAUUGUAUUUAGAUGGUACUUGGAUUUAGUCAAACUAGUUUAUUUUUCAAGUUAAUUUCUGAGACUUUUCCCCAAAGAGGCAUGUCAUGCAUGGUUUUCAUUGAGAAACAUCCUAAUUACAAAUAGAAACAUAGAUAUAUCUUCAGAAAGGGAAUUUUACAAACAUCCUGUAUCUCACUACGCAGUAAACCUCCUUUCAAAUGCAGACAUAAAUGCAUCAAUUACAAACUAGCUGUUAUGUCACAAUUUAUGAAGUAGAUACAUAGGAAAUUAAAUCAAGUGUGUAGCUCAUCUGUGUAAGUUAUCUUCACUGGAGUCUUUAAUGACUAGCUUACACAGACGAGAUACACAUUACGCAAAUCACAGAUGCUAUUCCAUCAGGGUGCUACCAACCUUCUAUUUUCCUUUCCUCCAAAGGCAAAACUUGGUUGGUCCAAAGAAAUGAAAUUGUUGUUCUGACAGCAUGAUGCCUCUUCACAAAGGAUAUAGGAACAAAUUACAGACUUGUCAUCUUCUGAGUGAAUUUUCUUGAGUACCUCUUGCCCGAUCUUGCUUAUAUUAUAGAGGCUCUGUGCAGGUCCUGAAGCAGUGGAGCCACUUGUUGGCUGGGAACCUAGAGUUUAUCUGUGUUACAGUGACCGAACAGCAGUUAGGGAAUGGAGUGGACUAGGAUUAAAAGAUUUCAAACACGUGGGAUAUGUGAAGUUUGAGGGAAGGUACCCUUUAGUGAUCGUGCUAAUAGAACAGGAGUAGCUCUCUUAUAAAGACCAGGUAAUUGUUUCUCUCCAAACAUCUAUAAAAAAGGAUCUUGAGUUUUUUGUUUUGCUUAAUUCAAGCAUACAGAAUGAAACAGCAGAAAUUCUACUCUGUCAAAAACAAUGACAGAACCCUGGCAGUGAGAAAUUGCAGCAAAAAGAGCUGUUUUCUGGAGGAGUGAGAUAUUGACCCAAAGUAACUCCACAUAAUCUCUUCAAUAUUCUCGCAAGGUUUCCCUGGUAAAGAUGUUCCCUUCUGAGAGUUAAUUCUGGUGCAGAACAGAGGCUGUGAUGUAAAUAUCUUUUAAUUAUUUUCCGUCAACUGGAUGCUAGAUUUUCUGUAACAAUAGUGCUUUUUCACCAUAGAAGUGCCAGUUUUAUCCUCCUGUACAAGGUGAAAAUGUUUUGUACUUUCGCAUUGGGAUAGAUAUGAAUUGGGCAAUAUUGUAUUUCAAGAAAAUCUUGUUCGGUGUCACCUGUAGACUGUUCAGUCCAGCAAUUGAGAACUUGCUCUCUUCUGCUUCUCAAGCAUGGAAAAAAGUCCUUGACUUACCUAUGUCUCCAUGGCAUCUAGAAACUUGAAGACUCCAGCCCAUAAGCUUUACACAUGAACCUGCUUCUUACUCAUGCAGAUAGAUAAUUAGUAUUAUUGGGAUGAGCUGCAUAAGGAGGCCUUACAGAAUGGCUAUUACAAAUCACCCACAUGCAGGACAAAAGAGUUGAGAAAAUCUGUAGAUUUGGCAAAAUGGCCUUGGUCUUGCAGCGUAAGACUUCAGCUUAGGUGAUGCCUGUUCUACAUACAUGUGCAUGCAUGCUACCCUGCCUCUUACAUGGUUAAACCCUGUGGAUGAGCUCUGGGACCCCCUUUGCCUAGCCCUUGGGUCAUGUGGAGAGCCUGGGGUUAACGGAGAGCCAGACCUUUGGGAUGGGCAUUUAUCCCUUUCUCAGGAUGACAUGGUUGGACUGACAGGCCUUCGCAGAGCUUUGGGCUCAGCUACAGUAACUAACAGCUGGGAAGGAGACACAGUAACUAACAGCUGGGAAGGUGACAUCUGAACCCACCUCUCCAGCUGCAAAUUGCCAUCUCCCAGUUGAGCUCAUAUCUCACUCCAUGCUUAAUCCUUUUCCUGCUUGUGCAGCAAAGGUUUUAACCCAUGUGCUGAAGUCUGGGUUAGGAUUUUGAAAUCAGCCUUGCUACUCAUUUGGUCCCAUGAGACAUUCCCUUACCUGACCUAAUGUGCCUGGAGUCACACCCACCAAUAGGCUUGUCUUAAAGUAAAUUGAUUCCUAUCAAAGGUGCUGAGAUCUUUUGAAGGUGACAGAAAGCAGUCAGGCACAGAAGGACAAGCAGUGUCUGUCCAGAGGGAAAACCUGCCAUAGACACACUUAUCAUUUCCCUGGAAAACACGAUUUCACUUUCAAGUGUGGAAGAGGCUAUCUGAAAGCGUUCAGGAUCAAUCAGUUUCAUAAAGGCAUUCAGAGAGAUUCAGGCUUGGAUCUUAUCAUCUUAACUAUAUGACAAAUAAGAGGUGGGGAAAACAUUCUCCUCAUGAAACAAUAAGUUAGGGGCUCCACUGCCAUGCUAUCCUUGCCACUUCCAGUAAGUGUAUUAUGAGCUUCCAGUAGGCUUAUUGCAAUACUAAUAAUGACAUUAUUAGCAUAUUAGUAUUGUUUGAAAUUUACCUGAGAUAUAGAUUUUAAAAAAGUUAAAAGGAAGCUUAAUUUUUUUUAAAGAAGCUUAAAUCUCUGUGUUAUUAGACUAAUGAAAUUUUAGUAGCCAUUCUUGGUUACCCAGGUGAUCUUUUCCAGUUCUACCCAUUUCAGAAAUUUAAAUCUUUAAAUACAAAGAAUAAAAUAUUAAAAAGCUUCUGUGUGGGAUAAGGAGCUCUUCUUGCUUCAUCAGUGCUCACUCGGUGGCUUACCACAAGCCUCCCAGAACCACUCAAAUCCUGUGCUGCCAUUGCACAAUAAGUACUACAGAGCUCCCUCAGACUACCAAAAAGUCCAGUCCAACUAAUGAGCCAGAUCCCACCUCUGCCAUUAGACACCAUAAGAGCAAAGAACAAGGAGGUGAUCCCAGAGAGGAGCCAUAAGGACCACCAUGGAUGUUCAGCUUGUUAGUGGCCUUCUCUAGUUUUGCACCAUGUAUCUUUUAAAUCAAGUAUUAGUUGAGCAGUAACUACCUCUGGAGUGUGAUGAAAACAAAGGAAUAAUUCAUUCAUCCUUCAUGUGGAGACUUAGAAAUUUCAGAGAUUAAUAUCUACCUCAUCUCUAUGGUUUGCUGCUUCCAUCUCCUGUGUCAUUUUGAGGAUUACUGUUCUGCCUCUCUGACUGAGUUUCUUGUUAUGACUUCUCUUUAGUGUCUUCAUUUCCUCACAUGAACUGGGUUAUAUUGGAAGCUGUUAUAUGGAUUUUUUUGCGCUGAUGUAUUAGGGAUGGCUUCUGAAUUCACUGUCAAGUGGGAGUGAAUGCAAGCAGGCUCGAGAGAAAAGGCACACUGAAUCUGCAUCUUCCUGUGAUCACCGACUUUCCUCUUGUAGCCAAUGAACCUUUCUAUUCCGUUGUGAAAAGAUUAAAUGAGAAGAUGGCGAUGGGGAAUCUAAUGACUCUUUACAGUGCCUCUUCCGCUUUUUCUUUCUAUCAGUGAUGACUUGGACUUCCUAAAUAGUUUUCCAAAGAAGAGGACAGCUGAUUAGUCUCUGAAUCAUACACAUACCAGUAGAAGAAUGUGGAGCUCUCUUGCAAACUUUAAGGUUUAACGUUGUAAUAGCCUUCAACUUUUUAAAGGGUUGCUGUUC